GGCAACCCUGAUCCCAGCCAUGCCGCGUGUGUGAAGAAGGCCUUUUGGUUGUAAAGCACUUUAAGCGAGGAGGAGGCUCUUCUAGUUAAUACCUAGGAUGAGUGGACGUUACUCGCAGAAUAAGCACCGGCUAACUCUGUGCCAGCAGCCGCGGUAAUACAGAGGGUGCGAGCGUUAAUCGGAUUUACUGGGCGUAAAGCGUACGUAGGCGGCUUUUUAAGUCGGAUGUGAAAUCCCUGAGCUUAACUUAGGAAUUGCAUUCGAUACUGGGAAGCUAGAGUAUGGGAGAGGAUGGUAGAAUUCCAGGUGUAGCGGUGAAAUGCGUAGAGAUCUGGAGGAAUACCGAUGGCGAAGGCAGCCAUCUGGCCUAAUACUGACGCUGAGGUACGAAAGCAUGGGGAGCAAACAGGAUUAGAUACCCUGGUAGUCCAUGCCGUAAACGAUGUCUACUAGCCGUUGGGGCCUUUGAGGCUUUAGUGGCGCAGCUAACGCGAUAAGUAGACCGCCUGGGGAGUACGGUCGCAAGACUAAAACUCAAAUGAAUUGACGGGGGCCCGCACAAGCGGUGGAGCAUGUGGUUUAAUUCGAUGCAACGCGAAGAACCUUACCUGGUCUUGACAUAGUAAGAACUUUCCAGAGAUGGAUUGGUGCCUUCGGGAACUUACAUACAGGUGCUGCAUGGCUGUCGUCAGCUCGUGUCGUGAGAUGUUGGGUUAAGUCCCGCAACGAGCGCAACCCUUUUCCUUAUUUGCCAGCGGGUUAAGCCGGGAACUUUAAGGAUACUGCCAGUGACAAACUGGAGGAAGGCGGGGACGACGUCAAGUCAUCAUGGCCCUUACGACCAGGGCUACACACGUGCUACAAUGGUCGGUACAAAGGGUUGCUACUGCGCGAGCAGAUGCUAAUCUCAAAAAGCCGAUCGUAGUCCGGAUCGCAGUCUGCAACUCGACUGCGUGAAGUCGGAAUCGCUAGUAAUCGCGGAUCAGAAUGCCGCGGUGAAUACGUUCCCGGGCCUUGUACACACCGCCCGUCACACCAUGGGAGUUUGUGCACCAGAAGUAGGUAGUCUAACCUAAGGAGGGCG
This 1084-nucleotide ribosomal RNA is filed under the name Acinetobacter gandensis. RNAcentral describes it as "bacterial SSU rRNA". It matches the Rfam family "Bacterial small subunit ribosomal RNA", at positions 376 to 1452 of the family's 1533-position model. The record is from RNAcentral. Lineage: Bacteria; Pseudomonadati; Pseudomonadota; Gammaproteobacteria; Moraxellales; Moraxellaceae.